GACGAACGCUGGCGGCGUGCCUAAUACAUGCAAGUUGAGCGCUGAAGGUUGGUACUUGUACCGACUGGAUGAGCAGCGAACGGGUGAGUAACGCGUGGGGAAUCUGCCUUUGAGCGGGGGACAACAUUUGGAAACGAAUGCUAAUACCGCAUAAAAACUUUAAACACAAGUUUUAAGUUUGAAAGAUGCAAUUGCAUCACUCAAAGAUGAUCCCGCGUUGUAUUAGCUAGUUGGUGAGGUAAAGGCUCACCAAGGCGAUGAUACAUAGCCGACCUGAGAGGGUGAUCGGCCACAUUGGGACUGAGACACGGCCCAAACUACUACGGGAGGAAGCAGUAGGGAAUCUUCGGCAAUGGACGAAAGUCUGACCGAGCAACGCCGCGUGAGUGAAGAAGGUUUUCGGAUCGUAAAACUCGGUUGGUAGAGAAGAACGUUGGUGAGAGUGGAAAGCUCAUAAAGUGACGGUAACUACCCAGAAAGGGACGGCUAACUACGUG
RNAcentral lists this ribosomal RNA (497 nucleotides) under uncultured bacterium. RNAcentral describes it as "partial 16S ribosomal RNA". It matches the Rfam family "Bacterial small subunit ribosomal RNA", at positions 28 to 507 of the family's 1533-position model. The record is from RNAcentral.